GAUGAACGCUGGCGGCGUGCCUAAUACAUGCAAGUCGAGCGAACAGACGAGGAGCUUGCUCCUUUGACGUUAGCGGCGGGCGGGUGAGUAACACGUGGGUCACCCACUUAUAAGUCGGGGAUAAUUUCGGGACACCGGAGCUAAUACCGGAUAAUAUUCCGAACCGCAGGGUUCGAUGGUGAAAGACGGCUUUGCUAUCACUUAUAGCUGGAUCUGCGCCGUAUUAGCUAGUUGGUAAGGUAACGGCUUACCAAGGCAACGAUACGUAGCCGACCUGAGAGGGUGAUCGGCCACACUGGAACUGAGACACGGUCCAGACUCCUACGGGAGGCAGCAGUAGGGAAUCUGCCGCAAUGGGCGAAAGCCUGGCGGAGCAACGCCGCGUGAGUGAUGAAGGUCUUCGGAUCGUAAAGCUCGGUUAUUGGGGAAGAACAGACGUGGAAGUAACUGUGGACGGCUUGACGGUACCUAAUCAAAAAGCCACGGCUAACUACGUG
This 497-nucleotide ribosomal RNA is filed under the name uncultured bacterium. RNAcentral describes it as "partial 16S ribosomal RNA". It matches the Rfam family "Bacterial small subunit ribosomal RNA", at positions 28 to 507 of the family's 1533-position model. The record is from RNAcentral.